RNAcentral lists this ribosomal RNA (253 nucleotides) under uncultured bacterium. Its description in RNAcentral is "partial 16S ribosomal RNA". It matches the Rfam family "Bacterial small subunit ribosomal RNA", at positions 524 to 776 of the family's 1533-position model. The record is from RNAcentral.
UACGUAGGGUGCAAGCGUUGUUCGGAAUCACUGGGCGUAAAGCGCGUGUAGGCGGCUAUCUAAGUCUGAUGUGAAAGCCCUGGGCUCAACUCAGGAAGUGCAUUGGAUACUGGAUAGCUGGAGUACCGGAGAGGAGGGUGGAAUUCCUGGUGUAGCGGUGAAAUGCGUAGAUAUCAGGAGGAACACCGGUGGCGAAGGCGUCCCUCUGGCCGGAUACUGACGCUGAGACGCGAAAGCGUGGGGAGCAAACAGG